This 258-nucleotide unclassified non-coding RNA is filed under the name Hevea brasiliensis (rubber tree). Lineage: Eukaryota; Viridiplantae; Streptophyta; Magnoliopsida; Malpighiales; Euphorbiaceae. The record is from RNAcentral.
UCUUCCCAAUUUAGGCAGCAACCAGACAGACAUAGAAAGCCUAGCAUCUUAAAUGCUAGAUACACAGAAUUAAAGACAAAAUAUGAAUGAAAAAAGAAAAUGCUAAGAGCCAAACACUAUUUGGCUUAAAUUAAACUGUGCUUUCCUUCCUCUACAAACAAAAUCAACAAGCAUUCCAAAACUCCAAUCUUUCUUUCUUAAUAAAACUUGAAAUGGAAAAAACCAUGCUUAUCCUAAAACCAAACUCAAUGCAAUUAU